GCAUAUCAAUAAGCGGAGGAAAAGAAACCAACAGGGAUUGCCUCAGUAACGGCGAAGUGAAGCGGCAAGAGCUCAAAUUUGAAAGCUGGCCCCUUCGGGGUCCGCGUUGUAAUUUGCAGAGGAUGCUUCGGGUGCAGCCCCCGUCUAAGUGCCCUGGAACGGGCCGUCAUAGAGGGUGAGAAUCCCGUCUGGGACGGGGUGUCUGCGUCCGUGUGAAGCUCCUUCGACGAGUCGAGUUGUUUGGGAAUGCAGCUCUAAAUGGGUGGUAAAUUUCAUCUAAAGCUAAAUACUGGCCGGAGACCGAUAGCGCACAAGUAGAGUGAUCGAAAGAUGAAAAGCACUUUGAAAAGAGAGUUAAACAGCACGUGAAAUUGUUGAAAGGGAAGCGUUUGCGACCAGACUCGCCCGCGGGGUUCAGCCGGCACUCGUGCCGGUGUACUUCCCCGUGGGCGGGCCAGCGUCGGUUUGGGCGGCCGGUCAAAGGCCCUCGGAAUGUAUCACCUCUCGGGGUGUCUUAUAGCCGAGGGUGCAAUGCGGCCUGUCCGGACCGAGGAACGCGCUUCGGCUCGGACGCUGGCGUAAUGGUCGUAAAUGACCCGUCUUGAAACACGGACCAAGGAGUCUAACAUCUACGCGAGUGUUCGGGUGUCAAACCCGUACGCGCAGUGAAAGCGAACGGAGGUGGGAGCCCCUCGGGGCGCACCAUCGACCGAUCCUGAUGUCUUCGGAUGGAUUUGAGUACGAGCGUAGCUGUGGGGACCCGAAAGAUGGUGAACUAUGCCUGAAUAGGGCGAAGCCAGAGGAAACUCUGGUGGAGGCUCGCAGCGGUUCUGACGUGCAAAUCGAUCGUCAAAUUUGGGUAUAGGGGCGAAAGACUAAUCGAACCAUCUAGUAGCUGGUUCUGC
Molecule: ribosomal RNA, 905 nt
Filed under: Aspergillus quadricinctus
Lineage: Eukaryota; Fungi; Ascomycota; Eurotiomycetes; Eurotiales; Aspergillaceae
Description: LSU rRNA
Rfam family: Eukaryotic large subunit ribosomal RNA
Source: RNAcentral